RNAcentral lists this ribosomal RNA (3126 nucleotides) under Triticum aestivum (bread wheat). Its description in RNAcentral is "partial small subunit ribosomal RNA". Lineage: Eukaryota; Viridiplantae; Streptophyta; Magnoliopsida; Poales; Poaceae. The record is from RNAcentral.
UACAAGUUUCAAGUUUAGUGUCAUCAUUGCCCCUUUGGGUAGGCAUUUUCCUCUCGGCGCCACUCACGGUGCGUAGGGUCGGCAGUCUACUCUCUCUGCCUGCAGGGUUUAGAGAGGUGUCGCCAUUGCCGUCGCCGGGCCCGAUUGGUGGGGAUGUGCUGCACGCGAAGCCGCGAAGCGGAGGCGAAGCUCAAGCUGUGGCGCGUGUGCGUGUGCGUGUGCGUGCCGGCGAGACAAAGGAGGAGGCAAGGCAAUGCGCCGGAGCAACUAGAGGAGCCUUCUGAACCUGAACAGAAGUUAAGGAAGCGAAAGGGUGGGCUGAGGAGACGGCACGGAGGAGAUGCGCACGCACGACCAGCGUCCGUCGAGGCCCCCCUCUGGUCUGGUCUGCUGGAGCGGGCGGGCGGCGGCCUCCCUCCCUCGGACGAGCGGGCGGGGCGGAGGGACGGAGGAGGAGGGCCGGGCGCGGCCCGUAACCCUAGAGCGCCGAGCGGGGGGCGCGGUGGGGCGGGUUUGGGAUCGGCGGCGGUCCCCUCCCAGCGCAGCGCCGUCGUCCUAGGUUGCAAUGACCUGUAACUAAUACGAACCACCUACUCCUACAGUGUUAUUUCUCCCACCCCCCAAGCUAUUCCAAGAACUUCGACAGGUCACUCCCAAAUCUCAACAACGGAAACUUCUGAUAUUGGGUACGAUCACUUAUUUAACUUUUCCCUUCCACCGACCACUUGAACUCAAUUCUGUACAGGUUUAGAUGAGGACAAUUUCGUUCGUUCUUAAGACUUAACUUCUUUAGAUGUCGGUAGAAUUGUUAUCGUUUACCGGUACGAACAUUCUUCCUACGUUAACCACCUCUCGUAGGACAGGUACUGUAGUUCAGGUGACCGUGAACCUAGACAUCUUUAAACCGGACAUUUCGACAACAUUGUCGACUUCUAAGAAAGACGUUCUCCACGAGUACAACAUAAACGGUAGUCAAACUACUGUUAUUUCUAGGAUCAGAUACCAACCAAACACGUAGACUUUUACUGCUGUUUGUCACGACACCAAGAAGAACGGUAUAGCUCACACGGGAGGUUGUUUUCGCCCACCCUACGAAACUAGAAGUUUUUUAAUAAGUAGAACUACCCUCAAUAAGUACACGAAGUACACCCUUCUAUAGACCCUAUGAUCCAAUAACCUUUUCCGUUAAUCACUAACGUUUCGUCCGAGCGGCUCAACUAUAUGAGACGGUGGCGUAGAUACACUCAAUAGUCAACAACCUCCCAUGCUCGACAGUAUGUCUUAACGUAUUGUAAUAAGUUCUACGUUUUCGUUUUGAACUUACACUCCAGCCAGGUGAACUACCUUACAGCCGUUUCUACCGUGCACCAUAGCAUUCGUCCAAUAGACCACCAUCAUUAUAUGACUUUGAAACGAGAGAUCGCUAAGUUUUUCAACUACUCAACAACUCAGGAGGUAGAGGUCCGAACGUAGAAGCUCCAAGUAAUGGUCGACGCACGUCUAAGUUUAAGCAUCUAUAAUGUAGUAGAAGGGAACAAUAGUAGGAUUUUCUUUGAUUUAAUCGUAGUAGCCUGUGGUAGUUUCCAAUAUUCGAUACCAUGACCUUCUCGUCUCUCGUUGGUUCGUACCUACUCGGACAAUAAAACAGUUCUCUACUUUCUUUUUAUGAACAAAUAUUGGAGCGGUGUACGUGUCUUAUAAGGAAGUCUUAGUAUAGUAAGUGUCUACGACUACGCUGGUAACCCGUAAGGCUCAGAUUUACAAUAUGACGCUCGUUCCUCCAUAAACAGUUUAGACACUGGGUCUUCCGGUGCCCUUAUACGGGCGUCCGCGUCUGUUGCCUAUCCUCGGUCCGAACAUACAGGUGACCUAAAUCCUAGGCUCCACGACCCUUCUAGAACGCCGCUCGAACCCGACUUCUUCCGACAAAACUCCUAUACAUGCUUCCAAGUACACUGUAUUCACGGUGUCUUCGUCUGGUCCGUCUCUUGUCACUUGUCCCAGUAUACAAUAGACCACGUACAGCGUUUGAAGUCAAGUUACGUAAAAGACAGGGACUGGAUUUACGUGGGUACGGGUACCUGUACCUGAGAAGGGGACUCUUCUCGAUACUAAAUUUAUUGUCUGAAAAUUCUAGUUUACUGUCACCACCGAGUCUCCGAACGCUCCGUCAGUCCUCGCGCCUCGGCCGACGACAACUUAGAGCUGGUCCUCCGUUCCGUUUCGUCGGGUUACCACGAGUCUUACUUUCGACACUCGUCCUACCUCAAAGUCGGUAGACGGCGGUUUUCGUUGAAGACUUUUCCGGAUCUCACGACCUACUCCUGAUACUCAUGACACACUUCCACUAUGCCACCGACCUCACACUGCCCGUGUAUCUCUGACUAAAGUCUAACUUCAAAAACUGAACCGACUCAGAUUCUAGCUGACUCUUACUCGUAUCCCAACACUUGUGUAAGUAGUUUUGUGAUUAGUUUCUUGGUUCGUCAGACCGACUCGUCGAACAACUAAGAAAGCCUCUCUACUAUUUGACGUUCUCUGGUUUUCAUCCAAAGCCGUCACUCGAUACCGUAAACCUGUUUGUUAUUGUUAAGUUCUCAAGGGAUUGAGUAACCAUAGGAUAUCAAAAAGGCUAGUUCCCGUCACUUAGGGUCUUACUCUUACUCCCCCAAUCCAAGUAUUUGAACUAUUAGUAGCGUAGCUGGGUCGGCAGUCUAAUAAUGGUAUGGAAUAUUCAAGUCUAGUCUUGCACGUGUUAAAAGAACUCUCAGUAGUAAAGCCGGCAUGGUAUGGAAUAUUCAAGUCUAGCCUUGUACGUGUUAAAAGAACUCUCAGCAGUAAAGCUCGGAUACCCUAAUCCUAUAAACUAAAUGAAUCUUUAAGGAUAGAAGAACUAAGAUGAAUCCUUUUAGUAAAUCCGCCUUUUAUCUAACGUAACUUUCUAAGGACAAGGUGGACAUUCAUCACCUUUGUUAAAAUAUAAGAGUAACCAAAUCAUGAGAGAUAUAAGACAGUCUCGGGACCUUUUUAGAAUAUACUACAGUACAUACCGAAUGUAGACGAACCAUGGAUAAAAAGUCAUACCCACUAAAAAACCAUGACCUACAACCGAUCCUAUAUAAACCG